GACGGAGGAUGCAAGCGUUAUCCGGAAUGAUUGGGCGUAAAGCGUCCGCAGGUGGCAGUUCAAGUCUGCUGUCAAAGACCGGGGCUUAACUUCGGAAAGGCAGUGGAAACUGAACAGCUAGAGUAUGGUAGGGGCAGAGGGAAUUCCUGGUGUAGCGGUGAAAUGCGUAGAGAUCAGGAAGAACAUCGGUGGCGAAGGCGCUCUGCUGGACCAUAACUGACACUCAGGCACGAAAGCGUGGGGAGCAAACAGG
Molecule: ribosomal RNA, 253 nt
Filed under: uncultured bacterium
Lineage: Bacteria
Description: partial 16S ribosomal RNA
Rfam family: Bacterial small subunit ribosomal RNA
Source: RNAcentral